Dermacentor andersoni is the source of this 1013-nucleotide non-coding RNA. The record is from RefSeq and is a predicted model, not a curated record. NCBI's taxonomy places the organism in Eukaryota, Metazoa, Arthropoda, Arachnida, Ixodida, Ixodidae.
ACUGCGUUACUGCGCUAAAGAAAGUAGUUCACCAAAGAAGCGAAGCAAAAAACUUUUAUACACUUGCAAAUCGCAACAAUUGUUCAGUAAUAACAUGAAAUUACAUAAUUUGUUAUCCAAUGGUACAAUUUAUGAUAAUAUAAGCGUGUAUUUGUAUGAGUGCACAUGUAUGAUUGCGCGUUUGCGCUGUUGAUGCUUUGCGCGUUCCGGCGAGUUCGUGCACGCCGCUGGCUUGAGAGUUUCCUGCGUUUUCUGUGUUCUUUGUGUGCUUGGCUGUGACAUCUUUGGAAUAUUCCUGCGUGUUGCUCGCUUUUUAUGGACUUGUUGCCUCGAAGGUCGCCAUGAUCGCCUCCGACUCAGCGACAUCAAGGAUUCAAAAUGAGCUGGGAGAGGCCCCAGCUGGAACGGUUCACAUAGGUUGAAGGAGUGCACAUUGAGAAGGUUAUCCUGGCACAGUUUACCAUGGUCUGCCAUGGUGGACCAGGAAAGUUUGCAAGGGCCUUGCUUCACCAUGUGUUCACAGAGGAGGAGCUCAUGGGCCAUUUGGGCUUUGGAAAUAACACCAAGGGGCAAAAAAGGCUCUUGACCCCACCAGGGUCAGUGCUGUUAUAGGCAAGUACCAUAUAUCCUUUCUGGUUGCAUUUUUACAUUCACAUUUUUUUCUAAAAUUAUGAACUUGCCAUUGGCAUAACAAACGACUUUCAAGUAGCCCGUGUGUGCAGUUGUGUGCGACAAUAGCCUACUAUUUGGAAUGACUGUUCGUACGAUCUUAAGUGUGUAAUGCCGCCAUACUCAAAUGCUUCUAAAAUUUAAAAGCUGCCUUCACUGCUGAAAGUUUUUAGUGGCUCCACCACAUAAAAUGAGCUGCAUUUGCGCAUUAGCAGUGUUGCUUGGCUGUCAUUGCAAGGAAUAGUUGUCUGUGAAGCACGCUCCAAAUCUAUUGGCAUGGAGGACAUGUUUAGUUAGCCUGAAAAUGUUAUUCUAAUACGCGAAUUGCGGAGAAGGUAUGCUCA